Molecule: ribosomal RNA, 778 nt
Filed under: uncultured Neocallimastigales
Lineage: Eukaryota; Fungi; Neocallimastigomycota; Neocallimastigomycetes; Neocallimastigales
Description: partial large subunit ribosomal RNA
Rfam family: Eukaryotic large subunit ribosomal RNA
Source: RNAcentral
UACGACUACAUAUCAGGCAUAUCAAUAAGCGGAGGAAAAGAAACUAACUAAGGAUUCCCUCAGUAACGGCGAGUGAAGCGGGAAGAGCUCAAAUUUGAAAUCUUCAAGGUUCUACCUUGACGAAUUGUAGUUUAAAGAAGUGUUUUCUGUUAGAGAGUUAGGUAAAAGUUCUUUGGAAUAGGACAUCAUAGAGGGUGAGAAUCCCGUAUUUGACCUAUUCUUUCUAGCUGUGUGAUACACUUUCAAAGAGUCGGAUUGUUUGGGAAUGCAGUCCAAAAUGGGUGGUAAAUUUCAUCUAAAGCUAAAUAUUGGCGAGAGACCGAUAGCGAACAAGUACCGUGAGGGAAAGAUGAAAAGAACUUUGAAAAGAGAGUUAAACAGUACGUGAAAUUGUCAAAAGGGAAGCGUUUGACACCAGUGUUGUUUUCUCGAAAAUCAAUUAAAAAAAGUUGGAUUUUGUGUUGUAUUGACCCUAACAGCUUGCUUCACUCUUUUCCAGCUUUUUUUAAUGCACUUUUCGUUUAACAAGUCAACAUCAGUUUCUUUUGUUGUAAAAGGGUCAUUGGAAGGUGGCUUUCUCUUCGGAGAAAGUGUUUAUAGUCCUUUGAUCUCUGCAAUCGGAGAGACUGAGGUCUGCAGCGUAGAUCCUUCGGGGUUAGAUACAUUUGUGCUAAGCUACAGCUUUUCAUAGACAACUUGUUGACUAUGUUUAGUCUUGUGACUUACCCGCUUAUGCUAUUUUACCUACGCUUAGGAUGUUGAGCGCAUGUCUCUCUCU